This is a long non-coding RNA of Ananas comosus (pineapple), 558 nucleotides long. RefSeq lists it as uncharacterized. Lineage: Eukaryota; Viridiplantae; Streptophyta; Magnoliopsida; Poales; Bromeliaceae. The transcript is spliced from 2 exons. The record is from RefSeq and is a predicted model, not a curated record.
AGCUCGACUCUUCUCUCCUUUUGUUUUAUUCUUCUUUUCUCUCUACAAAUCCUGUGGUGAGGGAUUUGGAGGAGUUGAGACUUUUGGCUGUGAGAAAAUUUAAGAGCAAGGGAAACCAGGAAUUCAGAGAUGAGGUUUGUUGUGCUCUUGGAUAGGGUUUGAGGUCCACACGUGAACAGCGCGGCGACACGAGGAAAGGGAGUAGCUCGGUAGAUAGCGCCCUACCACAUGAGACCAGAGAUAGUAGUGCCCCGAGUCAGUUUAGCUUAGAGGCGUAGAAAUGAGAGAAUGAAACAAUUUGUACUAAAGAUGGUUGUACUUGGAAGUUGAAUGUAAACUUAAUGUAAAUAUGAUGUAAAAUGAGCUGAAUGCUUGUAAUAGCUUGGCAGUUAUGUCUUUGAUACCUUCCUUAUGCAAUCGAUGUAUGAAUUCUGUUCCUAUUUGGAACCUUGUGAAUUGUACUGUUGCGACGCCUUGGAUGUACAGGAGAAACUCUGUCCGUUUGGCGGUCUGUUAGCGUGCCGAAUAUGACCAAAGUGGCGGGUCUCGAGGCGUUUC